UUUAAUUACAAUAGUAAGACAAAGCCCUAACAGCAAUGCGAUUAGUGCGACUCAAACUCAAGCCACACUUGGGGUAGUGAACAUCCUAACCAUCAAGUCAACAUACAAGAUUCAUUUUAGAACUCUUUAAACUUGGAGAAGGUGCUUCUUUAUUUGUAAGCUUCAACAUACAAACAAUGAUGGUUUUGUUUUUCAUUUUUUAGUACAACACAUAUUUAAAUGAGUAUGAGCAGAAACUUCGAAAAUAUGGGUUCUAUUUGGUUUGGAUUAAUUUUUUGAAACCCUAUUUUUUAAUACAUAAGGUUAAGAUAUUGGAUUAAUAUAAUUUUUAGCUCCUGAACUUGAUAAAUAUGUUUAUAUUGGUAUCUGUACGUUUUUUGAGUCUAUUUUUAUAUUUGAACUUAAUUCCAUUAAGAAUUCUUUUAAAAUAUUAAGAUGAUGACAUGGUAUAAUUUCAAAUUUUUAUGUUUAUCAAAUCCGAGACUAAAAUGAACUUAAUUGUUAAAUUAACCCUAAGAUAUUUGAUCCAUCUGCAACACGGACAAGGACUUCAGUUUUCAGAGUGAUCUAUCAAAGUACAAAUGUGAACUUGAAAAGUGCAAUAAAACUGAAGUUGUUUAUUUCAAUUUGGGCCUUGAACCCCCAAAUAUUCAUUGCUCCCUCGAGUUAUCUAUCUUGAUAGCCAGAACAGCCCAAACCCAGUAGCUGCAAACCUUGUUCAAGAGGCUGGGAAACUCCGACUUCGAGAAUAAACAUGUCUAUUUGGUGGAUCGGUCUGGUUUUGUAUUGGACCAAUUUGAGUUUAAAAUUUUCAGAUAAUCUCGGUUUGAAUCAUUUGUAAUUGAAUUUGGGUUUUGGGCUCUUGAAUUAUUUUGGGUUAUGAUUUUAGAUUUCAAUUGAAAUUAUUGAUUUUUUAUAAUCAAUUUGAAAUGGACCGAGUUUACAUUUAGAUUGAUUGAUUUGGUGUUUCGAAUUCGACUCAUAGUUAAUAGGUUUACUUGAAAAUGAGUAUCCAUAUUGGAAUAUGUUUGAUACAAAUAUGUUUACUUUUUGAACCCAAAUUGUAGCCCGUUGACCAAAUGUUCACUUUUCUUGUGAAUUGCUUAGGUUCGAAUGUAAGAAUAUUGCCUACUGUAGGGUUUGUUGUAGGCUUGAUUAUAGGUUAGGUCACUUGCCCAAACUUGAAGACCGUUUUGAAAAUUGAAAAGGUUUUAGUAAAAAAAAUGGGUUUGGACAAAAAAUAAAACUGGGCCUUGGGUAAGAUUUGUUGGCCUUUGAUCUGGCUUGAAUCUGCUUAAAU
RNAcentral lists this long non-coding RNA (1300 nucleotides) under Gossypium barbadense (sea-island cotton). RNAcentral describes it as "long non-coding RNA (GBAR_LNC023187)". Lineage: Eukaryota; Viridiplantae; Streptophyta; Magnoliopsida; Malvales; Malvaceae. The record is from RNAcentral.